UAGGGAAUUUUGGGCAAUGGGCGAAAGCCUGACCCAGCAACGCCGCGUGUGGGAUGAAGGCCCUCGGGUCGUAAACCACUGUCAGGAGGAAAGAAAAGUCGGCCGGAUAAUACUCGGUCGACCUGACGGUACCUCCAAAGGAAGCACCGGCUAACUCCGUGCCAGCAGCCGCGGUAAUACGUAGGGUGCUAGCGUUGUUCGGAAUCAUUGGGCGUAAAGCGAGUGCAGGCCGUUAGUUAAGUCGGAUGUGAAAUCCCUGGGCUCAACCGAGGAAGUGCAUUCGAAACUAACUAGCUAGAAGAUGGUAGAGGAAGGUGGAAUUCCAAGUGUAGAGGUGAAAUUCGUAGAUAUUUGGAGGAAUACCUGUGGCGAAGGCGGUCUACCAGAACACGUUCGACGGUGAGGGAUGAAAGCUGGGGGAGCAAACCGGAUUAGAUACCCUCGUAGUCCCUGAGCGGGCUGGCAAGGCGCAU
This 473-nucleotide ribosomal RNA is filed under the name uncultured bacterium. Its description in RNAcentral is "bacterial SSU rRNA". It matches the Rfam family "Bacterial small subunit ribosomal RNA", at positions 355 to 825 of the family's 1533-position model. The record is from RNAcentral.